GACGAACGCUGGCGGCGUGCUUAACACAUGCAAGUCGAACGGAAAGGCCCUGCUUGCAGGGUACUCGAGUGGCGAACGGGUGAGUAACACGUGGGUGAUCUGCCCUGCACUUCGGGAUAAGCCUGGGAAACUGGGUCUAAUACCGGAUAGGAGCCAUUUUUAGUGUGAUGGUUGGAAAGUUUUUUCGGUGUAGGAUGAGCUCGCGGCCUAUCAGCUUGUUGGUGGGGUAAUGGCCUACCAAGGCGGCGACGGGUAGCCGGCCUGAGAGGGUGGACGGCCACAUUGGGACUGAGAUACGGCCCAGACUCCUACGGGAGGCAGCAGUGGGGAAUAUUGCACAAUGGGCGCAAGCCUAAUGCAGCGACGCCGCGUGGGGGAUGACGGCCUUCGGGUUGUAAACUCCUUUCGCUAGGGACGAAGCUUUUUGUGACGGUACCUAGAUAAGAAGCACCGGCUAACUACGUG
Molecule: ribosomal RNA, 465 nt
Filed under: uncultured bacterium
Lineage: Bacteria
Description: partial 16S ribosomal RNA
Rfam family: Bacterial small subunit ribosomal RNA
Source: RNAcentral